AACGAACGCUGGCGGCAUGCCUAACACAUGCAAGUCGAACGAGACCUUCGGGUCUAGUGGCGCACGGGUGCGUAACGCGUGGGAACCUGCCCUUAGGUUCGGAAUAACUCCCCGAAAGGGGUGCUAAUACCGGAUAAUGUCUUCGGACCAAAGAUUUAUCGCCUUUGGAUGGGCCCGCGUUGGAUUAGCUAGUUGGUAGGGUAAAAGCCUACCAAGGCGACGAUCCAUAGCUGGUCUGAGAGGAUGAUCAGCCACACUGGGACUGAGACACGGCCCAGACACCGAGGGACGGGAGAGGCGGGGAAGAUUGGAGAAGGCGCGAGUGCAUAACCCUAGAAUGCCGGGUGAGAGAAUGACGCGAUAGGGGUGUAAAGCUCUUUUACCCCGGAUGACAAUGACAGUACCGAGAGAAUAAGCUCCGGCUAACUCCG
Molecule: ribosomal RNA, 431 nt
Filed under: uncultured bacterium
Lineage: Bacteria
Description: partial 16S ribosomal RNA
Rfam family: Bacterial small subunit ribosomal RNA
Source: RNAcentral